GGUCUAAUAGCUCAGUUGGUUAGACCAUGGUGCUGAUAACGCCAAGGUUGCAGGUUCGAUCCCUGUAUGGACCA
This is a non-coding RNA of Podarcis raffonei (Aeolian wall lizard), 74 nucleotides long. NCBI's taxonomy places the organism in Eukaryota, Metazoa, Chordata, Lepidosauria, Squamata, Lacertidae. The record is from the annotation of a RefSeq genome assembly.